RNAcentral lists this non-coding RNA (67 nucleotides) under marine eukaryotic metagenome. Its description in RNAcentral is "L2-Alphaproteobacteria ribosomal protein leader". It matches the Rfam family "L2-Alphaproteobacteria ribosomal protein leader". The record is from RNAcentral.
GGCCACCUUCGGGGGGCUGAAACAUAGGCAGGAAACCUACCUGCCGAUUGCUAACGGAAGACAGAAA